CUUGGGAUUUUCGAGUACAAUUGC
RNAcentral lists this microRNA (24 nucleotides) under Pristionchus pacificus. RNAcentral describes it as "ppc-miR-8304a-5p". Lineage: Eukaryota; Metazoa; Nematoda; Chromadorea; Rhabditida; Neodiplogasteridae. The record is from miRBase by way of RNAcentral.